GUGGGGAAUAUUGGACAAUGGGCGAAAGCCUGAUCCAGCCAUGCCGCGUGUGUGAAGAAGGUCUUCGGAUUGUAAAGCACUUUAAGUUGGGAGGAAGGGCAGUAAGUUAAUACCUUGCUGUUUUGACGUUACCGACAGAAUAAGCACCGGCUAACUUCGUGCCAGCAGCCGCGGUAAUACGAAGGGUGCAAGCGUUAAUCGGAAUUACUGGGCGUAAAGCGCGCGUAGGUGGUUUUGUACGUUGGAGGUGAAUUCCCCGGGCUGAACCUGGGAACUGCCUCCAAAACUGCAUGACUAGAGUACGGUAGAGGGUAGUGGAAUUUCCUGUGUAGCGGUGAAAUGCGUAGAUAUAGGAAGGAACACCAGUGGCGAAGGCGACUACCUGGACUGAUACUGACACUGAGGUGCGAAAGCGUGGGGAGCAAACAGGAUUAGAAACCCCUGUAGUCC
RNAcentral lists this ribosomal RNA (450 nucleotides) under uncultured bacterium. RNAcentral's name for it is "partial 16S ribosomal RNA". It matches the Rfam family "Bacterial small subunit ribosomal RNA", at positions 354 to 796 of the family's 1533-position model. The record is from RNAcentral.